CAAGAACUUGGAACCUCAGUACAGUUUGGCUUAAAUAAUGAUCCACAAGCAGGGAAGAAUGUCCAAAAUAGCUGACCUUCUACUUCUGGAUCACCUAUCAUGGAUAGUUUCUCUCUCCUAAAAUGAUUAAAUUGACUUCCACACAGGCAUGAUGUGAAAUCUUUAAAAAUGUUCUUGUAAUGAAAUGCUGGCAGGCAUGGAAGGAAGCGUGUGCUCCAAUAACACUGCAAAAUGGAGGCAGAGGUCUCUCACCAACAACAGACAUUGAAAACAACCAGCUCAACCCUUCCAGACAAGAAAGUAGGGCUUUUAAAUUAGGCAAUAAUUCUGGAUUUCAUCAACCUACUUUGCCACUUGCAGAGGCUGCAUUUUGAUACCCAAGUGUUUGCUAUCCUAUAUUUAUUCUUUCUGAUUGAUGGUUGGUGAAGUUGGGUUUGUUUGAAUGCCUGGAAAACGGGGGCGAAGGAACUAGAGCUCAGGGAAGAUUAAGUUUAAACUGGAUUCUAAUGGAUUCAGGGGCUGAAUUUCAGAUUGGUCAGCCUACUGCCAAAAAGUUUCUGAUGCAAAUGAAUUUGAUAGCUGCUACUGACGUUCUUCCAGUUACGUUCUUCCAGCAGAAGUGGUGUCUGGUAAGGCAGUUUGCAGAUGCUCCCCAUGAAGCAAUUCCUGAAUUAAUCCAGCAGGUCUCAAACUGUAGAAACACAGGAUUUUUGAACCUUUUCUUCAGCAUGAUGCCAAUGAAGAGAACGCAUGGAGAUGCACUAUCCCAAGAAUUUGAUGAAUGAAUGAAGUGAAAAUCAUGGAUCAUCAGCAUUUUCCAUGCUCUGAAGCGGUAUGAGGCAAAGUUAUAAGCUUUUCAUACGUGGAUUUUGGAGUUGUUUUCAUGUUUGGGGGAGUAAAUACAAAGGCUCUGGGAUCAGAUUGUUUCUGCUCAGCGGAAUGCUCAUUCUGGGGCAAAGCAAUUACCAGAAGCUGGACUGCAGGCAGCAAAAAUCAGAUGGCCUGCAAUACACAGUCUGGAGCUGGCUAAAAAGAUAACAUGACUGACAUAAGAAAUCUGAUCCCUGAUCUUCGUUAUGUGUUAGCAGCAAAAAUAGUGUUAUUUUUUCUAGAAGAGUUUGUUCUGGCUCUGCCUUUAUACCUGGCAGAGAGGCAGUAACUCCGAGGCACAAAUCAGAAACUCCCACACACAGCCCUUGAUUGCUUCUUUUUCAACUCACCAUGCAACUGCCAUAUGUGAAUCUAGCAAGUGACACUGCCUAAUGUAAAGCACUAUCACUUUCCUCAAAGUACAAGCUUAAAUAGACUGUAUGAUUGUGUAAAUGUAAUCAAUAGCAAGUACAGAAUGUGAAGAAGGAUGGACUUCUAAUAGGACAAGAGCUCUCUUACUAAUAACAAAUGCUAGUUACUGGUAUGGGUGGCAAAAGGCCAAGAAUUUAGACGUCACAGAAACCUGGAUUCCUGCAUGUGCAAAAUAAAACCUAGCGAACAAAGGGUAUAUCA
RNAcentral lists this long non-coding RNA (1503 nucleotides) under Anas platyrhynchos platyrhynchos (common mallard). RNAcentral describes it as "lncRNA (ENSAPLG00000025173.1)". The record is from RNAcentral. Lineage: Eukaryota; Metazoa; Chordata; Aves; Anseriformes; Anatidae.